CGGGCCUCCCCGCGACCCCCGCCUCCUCUAGAGUCGCCGGGGCUCCACGGGGCGCGGGUUGGACUCCGGGCUUCCACCCCGUGGGGGCCGGGGGCCCAUCAAGUCCCGGAAGCAGAAUAGGGCCAGCAGUGCCCUGCAGGUGAGCGUGAACUAUCACAACCUGUGCUCACGAUGCCAGCAUUCUUCCUGUAUUUGUGACAACUUUACAAAGCUAGGCAGAAUGUCUCUGUCCUAUGGAGUUUAUAUUCUAGGGAGGGAGGCAAGCAAAAUCAAGAAGACAGAUCAAUUUAAAACAAACAAAAAGCCCCAAAACACUAUGAACAGACUGUGAGGAAUUCCAUGAAAAAUGAAGAUUAUUGAGCUGCAGUGUCUGGGGGAUUCUGACUUGGGAGGUGGGAACAUUGACAAAGGAGUGGGCACCGGCAAAUGGUGCAGCAAGAACAGCCAGCUGGGCCAGUGGGGAUCAGACCUGGAUAAGGAAUCGAGACGUAUCCAAAGAGGAAUGGGGAGCCAUUGUAGGCAUCUAUAAUAAUAAAAGCGUAAUAUGCAAAUCGACCAAACAGCCAAACAGCGGAAUGACCAUCAGGGCUACUUUCCAGACGACCUUCCGGACGAAGCCAUGGCUGUGAAGGCCUACUCUUGCACGAAUUUCGUGCAUCGGGCCUCUAGUUUAAACAAUAAAAUCCUUGCCGAUUUCUCUCACACUCUAUGCCCAAUCUCAGUAGCACAUCCUGUUGGCUCUACUUUCAAAACAGAUGCAGACUCCCUGCUCUUCUCCCACCUCCACUAUCACCACCCCUAUGGGUCUCCUGCUUCCCGCCUUGACCCCUUCAGUCUAAUCUCACAGCAGCCAGAGUGAGCAGGUUAGAACAAGUCAGAUCACAACCCUCCUCUGCUCAAGAACUUUCUAAAGCUCCUGUAUCAGUCAGAAUAGAAGUCAAAAGCCUUAUGGCACCCACUGGGCCUGAUCUGGCCAUACCUCUCCCUUUAUCUCUCCAGCCUUCUUAUGCACCCUCCUUGCUCUCCCUCACCCUGUUCCAGACUCUGUGGCCUCCUGGCUGGUCCUCCAACACAUCAGGCGCAUUCCUGCCUCGGGGCCUUUGCACUUGCUGGCCUCUCUUCUGGACUCUCUUAUCCCUAGUUAUCCGCAUGGUUCACUUCUUUACAUCUUCAUUUCCUCAGCCAGGUCUUCCCUAAGCCCCUUUGAAAAUUGCAAACCAGGCCCCUCCUACACCCACCCUUCCCAGCACUGCCUGCUCAUUUCUCUGCUUGACUUUUUCCAUUUGGACUGACUGACAUCUGACAAACUCUUUACUUAACUUUCUUCCCUCCAUGGGAAUGGAAGCUCCAGGAGAACAGAUUACUUUCAUUUGUUUUGUUCCCUGUGUAUCCCCUGAGCCUAGACCAAGGCCCAGCACACAGUUAGGUGCUCAAUAAAUGUUUGUUGAAUGAA
Myotis lucifugus (little brown bat) is the source of this 1453-nucleotide long non-coding RNA. RefSeq lists it as uncharacterized. The transcript is spliced from 2 exons. The record is from RefSeq and is a predicted model, not a curated record. Lineage: Eukaryota; Metazoa; Chordata; Mammalia; Chiroptera; Vespertilionidae.